CCUUGGAGAGUUAUUGGUCUAUACACAAGAAAAAGAGAAAAAGCUCACCAAAUUGGCUUUGACCUAGUCUUUCCAUGCUUAAGUUCGUGGGGGCUUUGGAAUAAUAGUAGUAAAAAGAAAAAACAUAAGAAAAGGUUAAAAUAAAAUAUUAUCCUAUUUUGGUCAUCUUUAUUCUAGUAUGUCUUCAUCUCGAUCUUAGCCUCAGGCUUGAUUGCUCGACCUCGAGUUUCACUUUGGUCUCGGCCUCGAGAAUCACUUUGAUGUUGGCCUUAGGCUUAG
Molecule: long non-coding RNA, 279 nt
Filed under: Elaeis guineensis (African oil palm)
Lineage: Eukaryota; Viridiplantae; Streptophyta; Magnoliopsida; Arecales; Arecaceae
Description: long non-coding RNA (EGUI_LNC025619)
Source: RNAcentral